GCCAGGUGUGGUGGCGCACGCCUGUAAUCCCAGUUUCUUGGGAGGCUGAGGCAGGAGGAUCUCGAGUUCAAAGCCAGCCUCAG
RNAcentral lists this small RNA (83 nucleotides) under Marmota monax (woodchuck). Lineage: Eukaryota; Metazoa; Chordata; Mammalia; Rodentia; Sciuridae. The record is from RNAcentral.